GGUGGGGAGUUUUAAAGACGCAUUUAGGCUACCUUUCAUCAGGGAUGGGUUGGGACAGCAUAUGAUAAGAAAAGAUAAGAUGAUACAUAGUUGUGUUGUCUUGUGUUUGGUGUAUGGAAGAAAAGGUCAAAUUAAUUAUACAAAAUAAAUUAUUGAUAUACUAAAUAAGUAAUAAAAAUGACAAGACAAGGAGAAUUGCUUUGUCUAUUGAACCAAACACUACUCAUAUGGAGUUUGUCAUUCUAUCAUUAUAAACAAGUGGGCCUUAUACAUUGACAAGUAGUUUGGCAUAUUGGAAAAACUUGGGGGACUUCCAUUAGUUGUCGGUCAUAGUUUUGCACCCUCUUGAUGCUUUCUUGAGUUUGGGGAUAAGGAAGUUGUUGAAAUAGUAACUUUUAUUGUUUGCAACAAGGUUUUCAUUGGCUACUCUUCUUAUACUUAUUAUUUGUUUUCUUAUUUCUGAUUUUAACGUGUAGCCUGGCCUCAACUAAACUUGUGGUUGUGGAAAAUUCAAGCCAACUUGGAGUUCUUCAACUUGGAGUUCUUUGAACCCCCUAAAACUAGGGCUAAUGAUAUGAACAAUUUUGAAUAUUGCACCCUUUCUCAAUUUUAUCUUAUGCUUUUAAUGUUAUAUAUUCGAUUCAAAGGUUACUGAUACUGAUUUAGUUUUAGUUAUAUCCAAUGGGUCCAGGGCGUGUGUCCAUGCUAGCUUGUUGCAUAGAUGGGAGGUAAACAUGGACAUAAGUAGAUUCCUUUUGAACCCCAUGAGAAACCAGACAGCAACAUUUUCCGUUUCUUUUGAAGUCGUUUAAAAUGCCUUUUGAGAUCUAUAUUGUGCCAAAAGCUACUAUUGGAUGAUAUUAGGCAUUUAGGCUUCAUAAAGGGCCCAUACCUGCUUUGACUAUUUUUGUCCAAUUCAGAAGUUACCUCAGCAUGGGCAAACAUCACAGACUCAUUGGACAUAAUUAAAAUAGAAUUAAUAAUUAAUGAAAAAGUUAAAAACAUAAGAUACAAUUGAAAAAGCAUGCAAUCUCGGAUUUUUCAAAACAUUAGGCCUUAAAUUAAAGUUGUGUUUAUGUUGCUAGUUGGAUAGUAUGUACUUCUGCAUCUACAAUCACAUUUACUUUUCCAAAUGUCCAUUACCAAGUUGUGGUCUCCAAAAGGAGGAUCUACGAAAGUACCAUUAUAAAUUUGCAGUACGUGCAAGUUAUGUACCUGGUUUAGUUGUUAAUAUAGCAUACAAUAGAUGAAUUCAGCCUCAAAUUCAUUGCUGGGUUUAAAUCUUAGAUGGCAUUUUUUGUAAGAUUCUUUCCAAACUGGAAUAAAUGGUUGUUGCAUGUUUAUCUGCACCUAAAGUCAUAAGGUCUAGACAUGGACAUCUGGUUAAUAUGGUAUGCACAUUGAUUAUAUGUGGAUCUUUAACCGUAGUAACUACUACCUUCUGCACAAGUCAUGUUUGUGUUUUGGUUUGUUCUCCACAUUAUAGUGAUUUAAUUAUUUCAGAGUUGGAUCCUAAUUCCGGUUCCACCUUUUAUUCUUGUAGGUUAAACGCAAGUAUAGAAUUGCACCUACUUCAACUUUUUUUGACAGGAGAAGGAAUUCUUCUAUGUUAUUCAUGGAGGGAAGACAAAGGAUAUCUCCAAGAGUUGAGAGGGAUGAUUUCAAUAUGCCCACAAAGUCUCAAAUUGAUUUGGAGCUGGCCAAGAUGAGAACCAUGACA
RNAcentral lists this unclassified non-coding RNA (1720 nucleotides) under Hevea brasiliensis (rubber tree). The record is from RNAcentral. Lineage: Eukaryota; Viridiplantae; Streptophyta; Magnoliopsida; Malpighiales; Euphorbiaceae.